This 473-nucleotide long non-coding RNA is filed under the name Homo sapiens (human). Its description in RNAcentral is "HSALNT0345719". The record is from RNAcentral. Lineage: Eukaryota; Metazoa; Chordata; Mammalia; Primates; Hominidae.
UAGAAGCACAGCGAGGUCAGGGCCAUUGCUUACCCCGUGUUUUGUCACUGCCUUGUAGAGAGACAGGUGGGUCUGUGUCUUUACCCUGAGGAUCCUCAUAGCCUCUGUUCAGAAAGAGCCCUGCCCCUCUGAUCACUGCUGCCCACUCAGUGGCUCCGUAGCUGCCCCAAAUUUUCAGCAGCCAGCAGAUCAUGGUGUCACUCUUAUGUCCUUUUUACUGCAUUUACAUAAAAAGAAGAGGCUGAGAAAUGGAGGAACUUUGGGGGGAAAAAAAGGUCAUGAGAGUGGAGCCCUCAGGAUGGGAUCGGUACACUUCCAGGAAGAGACGGAAGAGAGCUUGUUUCCUCUUUGUCCCACUCCGCCAUGUCAGGAUACACAAGAAGAUGGUUAUCUGAAAACCAGGAAGAGUCCUCACCAAGAACUGAAUCAGCCAGCACCUUGAUAUUGGACUUCCCAGACUCCAGAACUAUGAG